GACGAAGGGGGCUAGCGUUGUUCGGAAUUACUGGGCGUAAAGCGAGUGUAGGUGGUUUUCCAAGUUGGAUGUGAAAGCCUUGAGCUCAACUCAAGAAAUGCAUUCAGGACUGGGAGACUAGAGGACCGGAGAGGAUAGUGGAAUUCCCAGUGUAGUGGUGAAAUACGUAGAGAUUGGGAAGAACACCAGUGGCGAAGGCGGCUUCCUGGCCGAGUACUGACGCUGAGGAGCGAAAGCCAGGGGAGCAAACGGG
This 253-nucleotide ribosomal RNA is filed under the name uncultured bacterium. RNAcentral's name for it is "partial 16S ribosomal RNA". It matches the Rfam family "Bacterial small subunit ribosomal RNA", at positions 524 to 776 of the family's 1533-position model. The record is from RNAcentral.